This 664-nucleotide ribosomal RNA is filed under the name uncultured Lachnospiraceae bacterium. RNAcentral describes it as "bacterial SSU rRNA". It matches the Rfam family "Bacterial small subunit ribosomal RNA", at positions 71 to 748 of the family's 1533-position model. Lineage: Bacteria; Bacillati; Bacillota; Clostridia; Lachnospirales; Lachnospiraceae. The record is from RNAcentral.
GAAUCUUCGGAGGAAGAGGACAGUGACUGAGCGCCGGACGGGUGAGUAACGCGUGGGCAACCUGCCUCAUACAGGGGGAUAACAGUUAGAAAUGACUGCUAAUACCGCAUAAGCGCACAGGACCGCAUGGUCCAGUGUGAAAAACUCCGGUGGUAUGAGAUGGACCCGCGUCUGAUUAGGUAGUUGGUGGGGUAAAGGCCUACCAAGCCGACGAUCAGUAGCCGACCUGAGAGGGUGACCGGCCACAUUGGGACUGAGACACGGCCCAAACUCCUACGGGAGGCAGCAGUGGGGAAUAUUGCACAAUGGGGGAAACCCUGAUGCAGCGACGCCGCGUGAAGGAAGAAGUAUUUCGGUAUGUAAACUUCUAUCAGCAGGGAAGAAAAUGACGGUACCUGAGUAAGAAGCACCGGCUAAAUACGUGCCAGCAGCCGCGGUAAUACGUAUGGUGCAAGCGUUAUCCGGAUUUACUGGGUGUAAAGGGAGCGUAGACGGAUAGGCAAGUCUGGAGUGAAAACCCAGGGCUCAACCCUGGGACUGCUUUGGAAACUGCAGAUCUGGAGUGCCGGAGAGGUAAGCGGAAUUCCUAGUGUAGCGGUGAAAUGCGUAGAUAUUAGGAGGACACCAGUGGCGAAGGCGGCUUACUGGACGGUGACUGACGUUG